CGCGCUGAGCACGGAGCCCAAUACGGGGCUCGAUCCCACGACUCUGAGGUCAUGACCUGAGUCAAACCCAAGAGCUGAACGCUUGACUGAGGCAGCCCUACUCCAUUUCCUCGUGUUUCAGUUUUAUGUACAUCCCGGGAAGAACUGUGUAUGUUGGUAAAGACUUAAUUUCCUCUGUAAUGUGAGCACUAUCACAGCGUACUUUCAACAACUUUGUGGGUGGCGCCUGGGUUACAAAGGAUUAUUAGACCAUGUGAUUGGCAUUACCGUUUUUCUUUAAAUGAGACGAUUCCCACAUAUCUGAUUUCAUUCAUUUCUGAAUCAUAGAAAGCUUAUAUAAUUUUGUUCCCACAUUUCUCCUUUUUUUAGAUUUGUAUUUUAUUGCUUUUCUGUUUUCUUUUUUUAAAUUUUUUUCUGUGCUCCCAGAUUCAUUGUUUAUAGACCACAAUUCUCUUAAUACAGAGAACUUAAGACCCUUUAGCUUUCAUAGAUGCUAUGCUUUUUACCCUUUUCACUACGUAUCUUAAAACAAUGGCUUAUAAGUAGUAUUUCUUAAUAGAAAUGUUUCAUAAAUGAAGAAACUAAU
Long non-coding RNA from Mustela erminea (ermine), 586 nucleotides. RefSeq lists it as uncharacterized. NCBI's taxonomy places the organism in Eukaryota, Metazoa, Chordata, Mammalia, Carnivora, Mustelidae. The transcript has 3 exons. The record is from RefSeq and is a predicted model, not a curated record.